Molecule: long non-coding RNA, 527 nt
Filed under: Populus trichocarpa (black cottonwood)
Lineage: Eukaryota; Viridiplantae; Streptophyta; Magnoliopsida; Malpighiales; Salicaceae
Description: long non-coding RNA (PTRI_LNC001489)
Source: RNAcentral
GGAGUGCAAUUCGGUUUAAAUAGUGAAAGAAAUAAAAUAAAAAUGCAGGAAAAAAGUUGUGGCGCAAAGUGGGUGAUCCGGCGUAACACCUGUGUAAAGCUGAGGCGGUGGUCAGUUUCUGUUUCUAAGUUGCAGCAGUCUCUACUCUCUAGCUGGCUAGUCUCAUGUGGAAGAGUGUUGAAUGAAGUUGGACAGAUAUCUUCAAGCGAUGUUUGAGUCUGCAACACUGGAGAAAAAUGGAGUUAUUUGGUUGCAAAGUUGGAUGAGUUAGAGAAAGUUAAAAUGAACUGGUAAGCACAAGAGUUGUUUUUAUUUUAUCACAAACGUGCCUAUUGAACACAUUGAUAUUCUAUACUUGUAUCAUAUACCUAUUAGAGACUGGAUCAAGUGUUUCAGUCUGGAAGCUCAGCUUUCCUUUUGGAUUAAAACAUUGAGCUCUCGACAGGAUGUGCUGUGCCAAGACAAUUGUGGAAUCCUAACAGGAUCUGACGCCAACUUGCAAGUUCAAAACACAUUGAAAAGUCGCU